Molecule: ribosomal RNA, 913 nt
Filed under: Cylindrocephalum aureum
Lineage: Eukaryota; Fungi; Ascomycota; Leotiomycetes; Helotiales; Pezizellaceae
Description: LSU rRNA
Rfam family: Eukaryotic large subunit ribosomal RNA
Source: RNAcentral
GCAUAUCAAUAAGCGGAGGAAAAGAAACCAACAGGGAUUGCCUCAGUAACGGCGAGUGAAGCGGCAACAGCUCAAAUUUGAAAUCUGGCUCUUUCAGGGUCCGAGUUGUAAUUUGUAGAAGAUGCUUCGGGUGUGGCUCCGGUCUAAGUUCCUUGGAACAGGACGUCAUAGAGGGUGAGAAUCCCGUAUGUGACUGGCUGCCUCCGCCCAUGUGAAGCUCUUUCGACGAGUCGAGUUGUUUGGGAAUGCAGCUCAAAAUGGGUGGUAAAUUUCAUCUAAAGCUAAAUAUUGGCCAGAGACCGAUAGCGCACAAGUAGAGUGAUCGAAAGAUGAAAAGCACUUUGGAAAGAGAGUUAAACAGUACGUGAAAUUGUUGAAAGGGAAGCGCUUGCAAUCAGACUUGCGCGCGGUCGAUCAUCCGAUGUUUUCACCGGUGCACUCGACCGUGCUCAGGCCAGCAUCGGUUUCGGUGGUUGGAUAAAGGCCUUGGGAAUGUGGCUCCUCUCGGGGAGUGUUAUAGCCCUCGGUGCAAUGCAGCCUACCGGGACCGAGGACCGCGCUUCGGCUAGGAUGCUGGCGUAAUGGUUGUAAGCGACCCGUCUUGAAACACGGACCAAGGAGUCUAACAUCUAUGCGAGUGUUUGGGUGUCAAACCCAUACGCGUAAUGAAAGUGAACGGAGGUGAGAACCCUUAAGGGUGCAUCAUCGACCGAUCCUGAUGUCUUCGGAUGGAUUUGAGUAAGAGCAUAGCUGUUGGGACCCGAAAGAUGGUGAACUAUGCCUGAAUAGGGUGAAGCCAGAGGAAACUCUGGUGGAGGCUCGCAGCGGUUCUGACGUGCAAAUCGAUCGUCAAAUUUGGGGUAUAGGGGGCGAAAGACUAAUCGAAACCAUCUAGUAGCUGGGUUCCUGCUGA